This 255-nucleotide ribosomal RNA is filed under the name uncultured bacterium. RNAcentral describes it as "partial 16S ribosomal RNA". It matches the Rfam family "Bacterial small subunit ribosomal RNA", at positions 526 to 779 of the family's 1533-position model. The record is from RNAcentral.
CGUAGGUCCCGAGCGUUGUCCGGAUUUAUUGGGCGUAAAGCGAGCGCAGGCGGUUUGAUAAGUCUGAAGUUAAAGGCUGUGGCUCAACCAUAGUUCGCUUUGGAAACUGUCAAACUUGAGUGCAGAAGGGGAGAGUGGAAUUCCAUGUGUAGCGGUGAAAUGCGUAGAUAUAUGGAGGAACACCGGUGGCGAAAAGCGGCUCUCUGGUCUGUAACUGACGCUGAGGCUCGAAAGCGUGGGGGAGCGAACAGGAUU